GUUUGAAGCUUUGCAAGAAAAGGUUCAAAUAAAUUCCAGAAAAGCACAAACAUUAUAUAACAAUGUUGAUCAGACAACCCAGAGGACAAAGGACCUGGACACAAAUAUUAAAAAUGUCAUCCGGAAUGUGCACAUUCUCUUGAAGCAGAUCUCUGGGACAGAUGGGGAAGGAAACAAUGUGCCGUCAGGGGAUUUUUCCAGAGAGUGGGCCAAAGCAGAGC
Suricata suricatta (meerkat) is the source of this 221-nucleotide long non-coding RNA. RefSeq lists it as uncharacterized. The transcript is spliced from 3 exons. Lineage: Eukaryota; Metazoa; Chordata; Mammalia; Carnivora; Herpestidae. The record is from RefSeq and is a predicted model, not a curated record.